AUGACUCUAGACAUUUCAUGUGUUCUCUCAAUGACAUAUCUGCAUUUCCUUUUUGAAAAUCAUCUGCAAAUUCUGAAGAAACUAGUGAGAAAUGCCAAAAAUCCCAUCAGUCAAGUCGCAAAGAGACUUUGUGAACAAGAGAGGGCAGAAAGCCACAGAAACAAGGUGUCAAACAAAAGUUGGCAUUUUGUUUCGGAAAAGAAGAGAAAUGGAUGCUUCCUCUUGCACAAUGAAGACUUUGCCUUUGUUAAAGAGAAAAACGUGAUGAUGGCAAUUUGUUAUGUGAUGUCAUUUCCCAAAAAAACAUGGAAAGCUUUUUUACUGUGCCUUGUGACUCCAAGCUUAUUAACGUUGUAUAUAUUAGAAACAUGGAGAGAGUCCAGAAACGUCGCAGGCUUCUUGAUGUUGAUGAAAUUCACCGUAAAGUGGCUUGUCUACCCUUCAAAACAGGAUAUGUACUUAUGCCUUUAUUGCACAGCAUGGAGCGAAAAGACUAAAAAAGGGAUGGCUUGGGUAAGGGCAGUGUGGCAAGAGAAGACAAGGCAAGAGGAAGGGACGGUGCCGGACAGCUGGGUGGACCCAAAGAACAUGUUAUUGUACUGGCCAAAUGUUGCAAAUGCAACAAGAUAUUUGAAGGAACGACGGCCACCAUCUGAUAGUUGGAGAAAGUUUCCACUUGUGAAAGAGAAGAUGAGAUCUGAUUACUUUAAAGAGUGUGACAACUGUGAACUCACAAGUAGUACAGAAGCUGAAGAAGGUUCACUGGAAGCAAAAAGAAGAAAAAUAUCGAAGAAAUUUGAAGACUGCUUGACAGAUCAUAGUUGUGACACUGAUCCACAAUUCGAAGAAGAAGAUAACCUUGGAAAUCGUCAGCUUCCUAACAGUAAUGAAGAGCUAGAACUUCCUGUUGCUCCAAGGAAGGUGUGCAAGCUCUCCAAUGCAAGCUCUACAUCUUCUGUUUCAUCCAGGGGAUCAAGCUCUGGCUCUCCAUUGCCACUUCAAAAAAAGCAGACUUCAACAGCACAGGCCCCUGUGCAAACUAAGGAGGCCACAUCAAAAAACCAGACCAGACAACAUUCUGAUGGAGAACCGUCUUCACAAGAAAUCAGACAAUCUGGGUCACCUGUUGAUCGACAGUCCAGCAGCUCCAAACAAGAUGAAAAACGCUCCCCAUACCCAAUGCAAGAAGCAAGUAAGUAUAGUUAGGGCUGGGCGAUAAAACGAUAAUGAUAUGUAUCGCGAUAGACAUGUAAUCGAUGUCAAUAAAAAAUGCGUUCGAUAAAACGUUUUCGAUAUUUUUUUUUUCUUCGUCGGAAGAAACAAGAGGUUGCGAAGCAAGUUUGGUUGCAUGAACAAAGGCACUCGCUCUCUGGUAACCUAGCAACGUAGGAAGUGACACGCUACCAGCCAAUCAUGAAACAGUUUGGUUGCGCCAUAUCGUUGUCUCGUGUUGGAUUCUUCAGUAACAGAACCGCCGUGGAGUGAUAAGUGGAAAGCCUUAUUUGUUCGGUGAGUGAUGUAGAUAAGAUGACUGACUGCUGCGCCAAUUCUGACAGGCGCCCGCGCAUGUUACUGAGAGAACAGGCAGAGAGAGAGAGAGAGACCCUCCUCCGGCCUCGCGUGCACACUUGCUCUCCCUCCCUCCCUCCCUCCCUCCCUUACGCAUAUUAAUCAAAAUUGAUAUUACCAUCAAAAUCAAUUGAGAAUUGACACGAUGAUUGGUCGGAAGACCGAAGUUUCACAUUAAGCAAUCAGAGAUCCUGAAUUACCGCUGGGUGAGAAUUGUACUAAAAAUAACGUGCCUUAUCUUCUCUGAAAAGCGUUCAGCACAUUCAAACAAAAACCUAUCCAGUGAUGAAAUGUUUUCUGUGUUGACACAAAUCUUGUGCGAUGUCCUAACUACCGGAUAAUCACACGUGCUGUCUGCGCCUUAUGUUUUCCAGCUUUUUUGUCCAAUCACACCUAUGAAUCAGAGGAAGGUUAAAGGAUUAAUUCACCCCAAAAAUGAAAAUUUCCUAAUCAUUUACGCACUUUUCAAUGCCAUCCAAGAUAUCCAUGUCUUUCUUUCUUCAGUGGAAAAAGAAAUUAAGUUUUUUUGAGGAAAACAUUUCAGGAUUUUUUUCUUCAUAUAAUGGACUUCAAUGGCAACCAACUCAGUUGCUAUUGUUUCCACAAAAAACUUAAUUUCUUUUCCACUGAAGAAAGAAAGACAUGGAUAUCUUGGAUGGCAUUGAAAAUGCGAAAUGAUUAGGAAAAUUUUCAUUUUUGAUGGCAUUGGGGUGAGUAAAUUAUUAGGACAUUUUUCAUUUUUGAGGUGAACUAAUCCUUUAAGUUUAAAAUAAAAAUGUUUAAAUGUAAUAUAUUUUUCUCCUGGUCCUUAUUUUAAAUAGGUCAUAAAAAUAUCAAUAAUUAUCGAUAUCGACCGAUAUGAAACACUUAUAUCGUGAUACAGUUUUCAGCCAUAUCGCCCAGCCCUAGUAUUGUAUAUUUACUUAAGGGCAUGUUGUCCAUAUGAUAAUGUUAGGGGUACAAUUUAAUUUUCAGUAAUCACAUUAUAGUUACUCUUCUGACAAGAGUCUCCUUACUUGCAUUACACAAGUGUACGAUUAUGAUCCAUUUCAAAAUUAAAAUCAGUCAAGGACAGUUUGAUCAAAUACAUGCUCAGUUUAUGCCGGCUAGUAUACAGGCAUGGUGCUGCACUUAUGUUUUUCUGCUGCUCGACAGAAAUGUUGUUGGUAAUUUUUGGCCCUUUGAAAUAUUUUUUAUUUUUUUCCCAAAUUGUUGGAUUACUGGUUAUAAUUUUAUGGACUCCUAAAUAAUGGUUUUAUUAAUCAAAAAGCAGCCCUAAUAAAUUCAGCCCUAAAAAAUCCUGAAACUUUAUUAUCAAACAUAGAAAUUAACAUCAAUUUAUUAAAAGUUUAAUAAAUAUUUUUAGGGGCCUACAAAAUGUUUUUUUCUUCCGUUCUGUUUUAAGGAUUUCAAUGAUUAUUUGACAAUCAAUUAAUUGAAUAUAAUUAAUUACCAUAACUCCUUCGAAAACAGCCAGAAACCUUGGAGUUAUGAUUGAUGAUCAGCUAACUUUCUCAGAUCACAUUGCUAAAACUGUCCGGUCCUGCAGAUUUGCUUUAUUCAACAUUAAGAAGAUCAGGCCCUUUCUUUCAGAACAUGCUGCACAACUCCUUGUUCAAGCUCUUGUUCUGUCCAGGCUGGACUAUUGCAACGCUCUCUUGGCAGGUCUUCCAGCCAGUUCUAUCAAACCUUUACAAUUAAUCCAGAACGCGGCAGCAAUAUUAAUUUUUAAUGAGCCAAAAAGAAUACACAUCACACCUCUGUUUAUCAAUUUGCACUGGCUACCAAUAGCUGCUCGCAUAAAAUUCAAGGCAUUGAUGUUUACAUACAAAACCACCACUGGCUCUGCACCCCUUUACCUAAAUUCAUUACUUCAGACUUAUGUGCCUCUAGAAGCUUGCGUUCUGCAAGUGAACAUCGCUUGAUUGUGCCAUCCCAAAGAAGCACAAAGUCACUUUUACGGACUUUAAAUUAAAUGUUCCCUCCUGGUGGAGUGACCUGCCCAACUCAAUCCCAGCAGCUGAGUCCUUAGCCAUCUUCAAGAAUCGGCUAAAAACACAUCUCUUCCAUCUUUAUUUGACCCUCUAACUUUUGCACUCACUAUUCUAAUUCUAUUUAAAAAAAAAAAAAUAAAUAACUUACUACCUUUCUAAUCUUUUUGUAUUCUAUCUAUUUUCUUUUCAUUUAUUAUACAAUUAUAAAAAAGACCUCUAACAUUAGCUUGCUCUAUUCUUUUUCUAUUCUAUCUGUUUUCUUUUUUUAUUUAUUAUAUUAUUUAAAAGCCCUUGCUAUGUAUACUGCGUUUAAGCUAACUGAGACUUGUUAUAGCACUUAUAUAUCAUUGCUCUUUUGUUGUUUUUGAUUGCUUCCAUUGUCCUCAUUUGUAAGUCGCUUUGGAUAAAAGCAUCUGCUAAAUGAUUAAAUGUAAAUGUAAAUGUAAAUAUAAUCUUUUCAUCAAUAGACCUUAUUCGAUUAAGCACGGUCAUCAUAACAUGCAUAAUUUAAGACACAUGUGCAGCUUACACCAAAACACAUAUGGCUGAUGCGAGAAAAAAAUGAAGAGAGCAUGCAAAAAUUUUGUUUGUGAUCGUGUUAUUUCAAAAGGAUAUCAUGUUAAUUUCAAACAUUGUGUGUAUUAAAAUAUGAUACAACAACAACAAGCACCAUGAUCAAUCAUUUGGAUCAAGUGCAUCCAUCGUUCUCUGGGACAGGAUUUAAAUCAACACAACAGAUCACAAGUGGUCAUCGCUAAAUACAGGUGAAAACAAGGUUUUCAGCUUAAUGUUUCAUUAUCCACAUCACAGAUUUCAUAGGGCCCUAGUCGAUACCACUUAAUUAGUUGUUUCCAUCAUGGCUCCUGAGAAUUUCAACUCUUAAAAUAGCCAAGCUGAAAUAGACACUUUUGGUGCUUUUCCACUGCAUGGUACGGUUCACUUUUGGGGGGUUUUCCACUGGGUACAGUACCUGUUACCUGCUACUUUUUUAAGUACCACCUUGGCUGAGGUUCCAAGCGAACCGUACCAUUACCAAAACAUGACGUGUAAACUCUGCUGAUCACUGAUUGGCCGGAGAAAAUCGUCAGCCAUUGAACUUGCGACACGAGUCACAUACCCGCUAGAUUUAAAUCUGCACAGCCAGCGAAGGAUAGAACGCAAAUGUUUUGAAUGAGCACACCUUUUUUAAACAACCAAAAAAUGGCUAUUUCAUGGUCUGGUGAGGAAGUACUGACUGUCAUCUCUUUGAUAACAGAGGAGCGGAUCCACCUAGAGGUUGAUAGAGCAACGCGGAAUGAAAAAGUUUUUCAGGAGUCAGGGUAGUAGAGGCGGCGCCAUUUGUUUUGUUUUGGGGGAAAUCUCCUUCACCUCACUCCCCAAUAUGCACACAUGCCAGCUGUAUGAGGCACUAAUUCUGUUGUUCGUAGGCUUAUCUGCUGAAUGCUUAGAUUUGUUCACUGAGUAUGGAAUAAAAUUAUCAUAGUAAACUAACCUCACUAGGCCAUCAGCACAGACACUUAUGUGAUAUUAU
Cyprinus carpio carpio is the source of this 5094-nucleotide long non-coding RNA. The record is from Ensembl. Lineage: Eukaryota; Metazoa; Chordata; Actinopteri; Cypriniformes; Cyprinidae.